CCAAAAUCUAGCCUAAAACUAUAACAUAUUAACAUCAUCUAACUUAAUUAAAGUAAAACAUUUUAUCUUUAUAGUAGAGGCGAUCAAAAAAUAACUAAGAGCUUCAGAAGUAGUACCGCAAGGGAAAAAUGAAAUAAAAAUGAAAUAAAUUUUAAACAAAUUAAAGCAGAGAUUUUCUCUCGUACCUUUUGCAUCAUGGUCCAGCUAGUAUAAUCAAGCAAAAAGAAAUUUUAGUUUGCACCCCCGAAACUAAGCGAGCUACUUCAAAACAGCUAAAAGAGCUAACCCGUCUCUGUAGCAAUAGAGUGGGAAGAUUUUCAAGUAGAAGUGACAAGCCUAACGAGCUUAGAAAUAGCUGGUUAUUCAGGAAAAGAAUAUUAGUUCUACCUUAAAUUUUAUUAUGUAAUCAAACAAAUCUCAAGAUUUAAGAGCUAUUCAAUUAAGGCACAGCUUAUUUGAAACAGGACACAACCUACACAACAGGGUAAAACACCAAUUAUUAUAUUAAGUGGGCCUGAAGGCAGCCACCUUUUAAAAAGCGUUAAAGCUUAUUAUAAUUAGUUAACAGAUAUCAAAAAUUAACAUGAACCCUUACCACCUACUGAAUAAUUCCAUAAUUAUAUGGAAAUUACCAUGCUGGAACUAGUAACAAGAAUAUGAAAUUCUCUAAAAUGCAAGCAUAAACCAAAAUGGACACUCCACUGGUAAUUAACGAAAAUGAACAAACUAUAGUAACUUGAACAAGAAAAACCUAUUAAACCUUCUCGUUAAUCUAACACUAGAGCAUUAACAGAAAGAUUAAAAGAGAAAGAAGGAACUCGGCAAACACUAACCCCGCCUGUUUACCAAAAACAUCGCCUCUUGAUAAAUUAUAAGAGGUCUAGCCUGCCCAGUGAAAAUUUAACGGCCGCGGUACCCUGACCGUGCGAAGGUAGCAUAAUCACUUGUUCUUUAAAUAGGGACUAGUAUCAACGGCAUCACGAGGGUUACACUGUCUCCUUUCUCCAAUCAGUGAAACUGAUCUUCCCGUGAAGAAGCGGGAAUAUAAUCAUAAGACGAGAAGACCCCAUGGAGCUUUAAAUUUAUAGCAACUCAGUCAAACAAAUCCUUAUAAUCCACAGAGCCAUGCUUACUAAUUUUAGGUUGGGGUGACCGCGGAGUAAAAAUUAACCUCCACAACGAAAAGAACUAAAUCUUUAUCCAAGAGCUACGGCUCUAAGAAUUAGAACACUAACGACAAUGACCCGAUAAUCGAUCAACGGACCAAGUUACCCUGGGGAUAACAGCGCAAUCUACUUCGAGAGCUCAUAUCGACAAGUAGGCUUACGACCUCGAUGUUGGAUCAGGGCAUCCCAGUGGUGCAGCCGCUACUAAUGGUUCGUUUGUUCAACGAUUAAAGCCCUACGUGAUCUGAGUUCAGACCGGAGUAAUCCAGGUCGGUUUCUAUCUAUAAAGUGUUAUUCUUAGUACGAAAGGAUCAGAAUAACAUGGCCAAUGUAAACCCAAGCCAUACUCUACACUAAUGACCCCAACUCAAUUAGGUGUAACCUGCCCUCAAAUUAAAGACAAUAAUUU
This 1575-nucleotide ribosomal RNA is filed under the name Zhangixalus dugritei (Sichuan whipping frog). RNAcentral's name for it is "16S ribosomal RNA". It matches the Rfam family "Bacterial large subunit ribosomal RNA". Lineage: Eukaryota; Metazoa; Chordata; Amphibia; Anura; Rhacophoridae. The record is from RNAcentral.